Molecule: ribosomal RNA, 397 nt
Filed under: uncultured bacterium
Lineage: Bacteria
Description: partial 16S ribosomal RNA
Rfam family: Bacterial small subunit ribosomal RNA
Source: RNAcentral
AUACGUAGGUGACAAGCGUUAUCCGGAUUUACUGGGCGUAAAGGGCGUGUAGGCGGUCUUGCAAGUCAGAAGUGAAAUUCCUGAGCUCAACUCGGGCGCUGCUUCUGAAACUGCAGGACUUGAGUGCUGGAGGGGAUAGCGGAAUUCCUAGUGGAGCGGUAAAAUGCGCAGAUAUUAGGAAGAACACCGGUGGCGAAGGCGGCUAUCUGGACAGUAACUGACGCUGAGGCGCGAAAGCGUGGGGAGCAAACAGGAUUAGAUGCCCUGGUAGUCCACGCCGUAAACGAUGAAUACUAGGUGUAGGGGGCAUCGACUCCCUCUGUGCCGCAGUUAACACAAUAAGUAUUCCGCCUGGGGAGUACGGCCGCAAGGUUGAAACUCAAAUGAAUUGACGGGG